GACGAACGCUGGCGGCGUGCCUAAUACAUGCAAGUCGAACGCUGAAGGAGGAGCUUGCUUCUCUGGAUGAGUUGCGAACGGGUGAGUAACGCGUAGGUAACCUGCCUGGUAGCGGGGGAUAACUAUUGGAAACGAUAGCUAAUACCGCAUAAGAGUAGAUGUUGCAUGACAUUUGCUUAAAAGGUGCAAUUGCAUCACUACCAGAUGGACCUGCGUUGUAUUAGCUAGUUGGUGAGGUAACGGCUCACCAAGGCGACGAUACAUAGCCGACCUGAGAGGGUGAUCGGCCACACUGGGACUGAGACACGGCCCAGACUCCUACGGGAGGCAGCAGUAGGGAAUCUUCGGCAAUGGACGGAAGUCUGACCGAGCAACGCCGCGUGAGUGAAGAAGGUUUUCGGAUCGUAAAGCUCUGUUGUAAGAGAAGAACGAGUGUGAGAGUGGAAAGUUCACACUGUGACGGUAUCUUACCAGAAAGGGACGGCUAACUACGUG
Molecule: ribosomal RNA, 495 nt
Filed under: uncultured bacterium
Lineage: Bacteria
Description: partial 16S ribosomal RNA
Rfam family: Bacterial small subunit ribosomal RNA
Source: RNAcentral